Long non-coding RNA from Hydra vulgaris (swiftwater hydra), 246 nucleotides. RefSeq lists it as uncharacterized. NCBI's taxonomy places the organism in Eukaryota, Metazoa, Cnidaria, Hydrozoa, Anthoathecata, Hydridae. The record is from RefSeq and is a predicted model, not a curated record.
CUAACUACUAAACUUUUACGUAAAAUGAAACUUUUUGUCAUUUACUGAAUGUGUUAAAUUAUAAAACUGUGCAACAGUUUUAUAAUUUAAGACAAAUCUUAUAUGUUUAAUUAAAAAAGUAAAUAUUUUGAAAAUUAAUUUUGUCUAUAUAUAUAUUAGAUGUUCAAGAGAUCAGAGCCGAAGAGCUCUUGCCAACGGAAGUAAUGGACAAGCUAAAAAAAUUAGAAGAUUCUGUUGAGAAUCUAA